GACGAACGCUGGCGGCGUGCUUAACACAUGCAAGUCGAACGGUGAACCACUUCGGUGGGGAUCAGUGGCGAACGGGUGAGUAACACGUGGGUAACCUGCCCCGAUAACCGGGACAACCCGAGGAAACUCGGGCUAAUACCGGAUGUGCUCGCCGGACUCAGUCCGGCGCGUAAAGGAAGCUUCGGCCUCCGUAUCGGGAGGGGCCCGCGGCCCAUUAGUUAGUUGGUGAGGUAACGGCUCACCAAGACCGCGAUGGGUAGCUGGUCUGAGAGGACGAUCAGCCACACUGGGACUGAGACACGGCCCAGACUCCUACGGGAGGCAGCAGUGGGGAAUCUUGCGCAAUGCGCGAAAGCGUGACGCAGCAACGCCGCGUGAGGGAAGACGGCCUUCGGGUUGUAAACCUCUUUCAGGAGGGACGAAGGUGCGGCGGUGAACAGCCGUCCGCACUGACGGUACC
This 460-nucleotide ribosomal RNA is filed under the name uncultured bacterium. Its description in RNAcentral is "bacterial SSU rRNA". It matches the Rfam family "Bacterial small subunit ribosomal RNA", at positions 28 to 479 of the family's 1533-position model. The record is from RNAcentral.